This 643-nucleotide long non-coding RNA is filed under the name Bos mutus (wild yak). RNAcentral describes it as "lncRNA (ENSBMUG00000011910.1)". The record is from RNAcentral. Lineage: Eukaryota; Metazoa; Chordata; Mammalia; Artiodactyla; Bovidae.
GGCGGAGGGUAAGAGGGGGCGCGAGACCCAGUCCUCGCUGGGGGCGCGCGCACGGGGCGGCUGGGGCGGGGCCAGCGAGGGGCGUAGCCAAGCCGGGGGCGCGCGGCCCCUGCAAUGUCUGCAAGGGUCGGGAGAAGCCGGCGGCCCGCAGGCCCGGAGGGGACCGAAGGGGCUGGGGGGGUCCGGGGCUGAGCCAGCAGGGUCCGCUCCCUCACAGGGAAGGCUGAGUGCCCGCCUUGGAGAGGAAGGCCGCCCUUUGCCAGGUGGGCCGCCUCCGCAAAGACUUGGUCGUCGUCAUCUGGGGCACUCGGCCAAGGAAGGACUUCCUCUGAGCUGUAAUGAUCAACCCGCGGCGGGAAGGUUUCCAUAAGCCAAGGCACACUGGAGAUACUUCUGAGGGAAAUGAAAGGAGAAGGAUUUCUUCCAAAAUAGAUACUGCCUCCUCCUCAGGUCAACAAACUCUCUUUUCAGGGCAGACGUCUGCUGGAUCCAUGUCAACACUCGAAAGGCUGAGAGGGGGUCUGGAUUCCCUGAUGCGCCCAAGAGCCUCCAUCCUGGGUCCAACCGGGCUAUCAGUUUCUCUGUCCUCUAAGGUAGGCAGACCCCGAACUGUCCAAGUGCACAGUAGUGGGUCAGGCUGCUU